This 469-nucleotide ribosomal RNA is filed under the name uncultured bacterium. RNAcentral's name for it is "partial 16S ribosomal RNA". It matches the Rfam family "Bacterial small subunit ribosomal RNA", at positions 28 to 507 of the family's 1533-position model. The record is from RNAcentral.
GACGAACGCUGGCGGCGUGCUUAAUACAUGCAAGUCGAACGGAAAGGCCCUGCUUGCAGGGUGCUCGAGUGGCGAACGGGUGAGUAACACGUGGGUGAUCUGCCCCUUAUUUUGGGAUAAGCCUGGGAAACUGGGUCUAAUACUGGAUAGGACCAUGCUGUAGGUGGUGUGGUGGAAAGAUUAGUUUCGGUAAGGGAUGAGCUCGCGGCCUAUCAGCUUGUUGGUGGGGUAAUGGCCUACCAAGGCGUCGACGGGUAGCCGGCCUGAGAGGGUGGACGGCCACAUUGGGACUGAGAUACGGCCCAGACUCCUACGGGAGGCAGCAGUGGGGAAUAGUGCACAAUGGGCGCAAGCCUGAUGCAGCGACGCCGCGUGGGGGAUGACGGCCUUCGGGUUGUAAACUCCUUUCAGCCAUGACGAAGCCCUUGUGGUGACGGUAGUGGUAGAAGAAGCACCGGCUAACUACGUG